This 253-nucleotide ribosomal RNA is filed under the name uncultured bacterium. RNAcentral describes it as "partial 16S ribosomal RNA". It matches the Rfam family "Bacterial small subunit ribosomal RNA", at positions 524 to 776 of the family's 1533-position model. The record is from RNAcentral.
UACGUAGGGUGCGAGCGUUGUCCGGAAUUAUUGGGCGUAAAGAGCUUGUAGGCGGUUUGUCGCGUCUGCCGUGAAAAUUCGAGGCUCAACCUCGAACUUGCGGUGGGUACGGGCAGACUAGAGUGUGGUAGGGGAGACUGGAAUUCCUGGUGUAGCGGUGGAAUGCGCAGAUAUCAGGAGGAACACCCGUGGCGAAGGCGGCUGACUGGAUCGCAACUGACGCUGAGGAACGAAAGCUAGGGGAGCAAACAGG